GAUGAACGCUGGCGGCGUGCCUAAUACAUGCAAGUCGAGCGAACGGACGAGAAGCUUGCUUCUCUGAUGUUAGCGGCGGACGGGUGAGUAACACGUGGAUAACCUACCUAUAAGACUGGGAUAACUUCGGGAAACCGGAGCUAAUACCGGAUAAUAUAUUGAACCGCAUGGUUCAAAAGUAAAAGACGGUCUUGCUGUCACUUAUAGAUGGAUCCGCGCUGCAUUAGCUAGUUGGUAAGGUAACGGCUUACCAAGGCAACGAUGCAUAGCCGACCUGAGAGGGUGAUCGGCCACACUGGAACUGAGACACGGUCCAGACUCCUACGGGAGGCAGCAGUAGGGAAUCUUCCGCAAUGGGCGAAAGCCUGACGGAGCAACGCCGCGUGAGUGAUGAAGGUCUUCGGAUCGUAAAACUCUGUUAUUAGGGAAGAACAUAUGUGUAAGUAACUGUGCACAUCUUGACGGUACCUAAUCAGAAAGCCACGGCUAACUACGUG
Molecule: ribosomal RNA, 497 nt
Filed under: uncultured bacterium
Lineage: Bacteria
Description: partial 16S ribosomal RNA
Rfam family: Bacterial small subunit ribosomal RNA
Source: RNAcentral